CCCCAGAUAGCUCAGGUCCGAGCGCACAUUAUUAAGCGAAUGGCGCUCAGACCACACGAAUACAGUUUAAUCGCCAUGGAGCCAAAGUCCUUACAGUCAGUUUCAUAUGAAUGGGCUCCAUGGGAUUCCCAUCUGGGGUAUAACACAUUCAAACAAAUCUACCGAACCCCAGGCAGAAAAGCACGAAUGAAGCUUUUCUGCAGGUAAAAAAAUAAUAUAGGAUAUCAUUACAUGACACCUAUAAGCUUGAGCCUUGGAUUCAAGAUAAAUUCUAUCACAUAUGCUACCAAAGCCAUUUAACAUUUUACUUUACUGUAAGUGAUGUGAACACUGUAUACACUAUAAUUCCUACAAUGUUUUAACAGGGGGCCAUAGUCCAAAGGCAGCAGGCGAGCAACCAGGCUUCUCCAAUGCAAUGUGGCGAGAUUGGUCUCGUCACAAUCAGAAUGUUGAUCUUUGUUAUAUUCAGAGUAAGCCCAAAUUGUUGUUACAAGUGCACUUGGAGAAGCGAGAAUUAGACACCAGACACCUGUUGGUAUUCAAAAGCCUCUGCCGAUUUAUUCAUCAGGUGGGUUUUAUACAUUAUAAAGGAAGUGCUUACGUGCAAAUACUCAUAGAACAGUAAUAGGAAGGGAGUACAGAUAAGACAUAGGGAUGAGCGUCAUGUACACAUAACAAAUAAGUUCCAAGGUAAGAAAGAACAAAAAGAUUAGAGAAGAGACAUCUUAGGUGGGGGCUCUCUGCUCCCGGAACUAGACAUAUAUGGUCUUAAGUGUUGUUUAAGCAUCAAGCAUUUCCUGAGUCCAAGUUAGCCAAUUUUAAUAUAGGAUAUCAUUACAUGACACCUAUAAGCUUGAGCCUUGGAUUCAAGAUAAAUUCUAUCACAUAUGCUACCAAAGCCAUUUAACAUUUUACUUUACUGUAAGUGAUGUGAACACUGUAUACACUAUAAUUCCUACAAUGUUUGAAGUUGUUAUGACUACAGUAGCUCCCCCUGUGUCCUAUCCUCCAAAGUUCUAUAUUUUAAUCAUUUGAUCCAUUGCUUUCAAUUCAGCUAUUUUAUUUGAAUUGUAGACAACUCACAUUUCAGUGAUUAACUUUGUCAACCAGAAUUUGAGUGUUUAUUCCUUUUAUCUAUUGCUUGCGAGUAGACUGAAAAUAAAC
Pelobates cultripes (western spadefoot toad) is the source of this 1164-nucleotide non-coding RNA. The record is from the annotation of a GenBank genome assembly. Lineage: Eukaryota; Metazoa; Chordata; Amphibia; Anura; Pelobatidae.